RNAcentral lists this ribosomal RNA (253 nucleotides) under uncultured bacterium. Its description in RNAcentral is "partial 16S ribosomal RNA". It matches the Rfam family "Bacterial small subunit ribosomal RNA", at positions 524 to 776 of the family's 1533-position model. The record is from RNAcentral.
UACGUAGGGUGCGAGCGUUAAUCGGAAUUACUGGGCGUAAAGCGUGCGCAGGCGGUUCGGUAAGUUAGAUGUGAAAGCCCCGGGCUCAACCUGGGAACUGCAUUUGAAACUGGCGGGCUUGAGUGUGGCAGAGGGGGGUGGAAUUCCGCGUGUAGCAGUGAAGUGCGUAGAGAUGCGGAGGAACACCGAUGGCGAAGGCAGCCCCCUGGGCCAACACUGACGCUCAGGCACGAAAGCGUGGGGAGCAAACAGG